Molecule: ribosomal RNA, 424 nt
Filed under: Verrucomicrobiota bacterium
Lineage: Bacteria; Pseudomonadati; Verrucomicrobiota
Description: Verrucomicrobia bacterium partial 16S ribosomal RNA
Rfam family: Bacterial small subunit ribosomal RNA
Source: RNAcentral
UGAGGAAUAUUGGUCAAUGGACGAGAGUCUGAACCAGCCAAGUAGCGUGCAGGAUGACGGCCCCAUGGGUUGUAAACUGCUUUUGUUUGGGAAUAAUCGACAUUACGUGUCAUGUUUUGCAUGUACCAUUCGAAUAAGGACCGGCUUAUUCCGUGCCCGCAGCCGCGGUAAUACGGAAGGUCCAGGCGUUAUCCGGAUUUAUCGGGUUUAAAGGGAGUGUAGGCGGUUGGUUAAGCGUGUUGUGAAAUGUAGAUGCUCAACAUCUGACUUGCAGCGCGAAGUGGCUGACUUGAGUACACACAACGUAGGCGGAAUGCAUGGUGUAGCGGUGAAAUGCUUAGAUAUCAUGAAGAACUCCGAUUGCGAAGGCAGCUUACGGGAGUGUUACUGACGCUUAAGCUCGAAGGUGCGGGUAUCGAACAGG